Long non-coding RNA from Erinaceus europaeus (western European hedgehog), 2064 nucleotides. RefSeq lists it as uncharacterized. The record is from RefSeq and is a predicted model, not a curated record. NCBI's taxonomy places the organism in Eukaryota, Metazoa, Chordata, Mammalia, Eulipotyphla, Erinaceidae. The transcript is spliced from 3 exons.
CAUGCGUGUGCCUCCUUUGGAGCAGGUCUUCUCCCUGACGUCUUUGUAGGGGCUCAGCCUCUGAUGUGCAGGGCUUCAGAAAAGGGGACAGCCAGGAGCCUCCCUUUCUUGCCUUAUUUUUUGUCAUCACCAGAGCUUGCUUCACCACUCUGGUUUGACUUUCUUUCUUUUUUUCCUCCAGACAGAUGGAGAGAAACAGAGGGAGAAAGGGGGGGAAUAAUACUGCAUUACUCAAUCUACCUCCGUUGCCCGAGGGGCUGAGUUUGAAUCUGGGCCACGUUCCGACAGAGCAGACACACUACCCAGGAAGAGAAAUGGAUCGAAGUACAACCUGAAAUGAAGUGAAUCGUUAAAGUGUCACAAAAUGAUGGCCAGCACCAAAACAGAUGCUUAGAGAACGAAUGCUCUUUAGUUCUUCAAAGGCCGAUGUGAAGGACUGACUACCCUCUGCCCACCCAGCUCAGGAGCUGCUUCUUCACAAAUGGGAACAUCAAUUCUUCCGAGAGGUGUGAAGUCCAGGUGUAAUGUCUACAGAAAGCUCAGCCCCCAAAGCCAAGAUGUCUAUCUAUCUUCAGUUGUCUCUGAACAGCUGAUUCAGAAUGAGUGGUUCUGAGGGCAAUCAAGUGAAACAUUCCUUGCUAGUUCCUGGCUCUGCCCUCACAGGAGGGAGAAGAGUUCUGAGGGCUUGGCCUGCAGCCCAGUGCACAAAGGUUUCCCCCUACCAGCCCAGCAGCACCUCACACGCCACCCAUCCUCACCCCCACCUCAAGUUCCCGAACCCGGGUUGUGACUCUAGACCUGUUUGCUGGUGGAUCUUUCAGACGCAGCACUCUUUCCUCAACUCUGGUUGUAGAUGCUGGAAAUGUAUUCUAUGAUCUAGUGACCAAGACCCGAGCUGUGCCUGUGACAGCAGCUGCACCACUAAAUUGAGUACGGCUGUUGACAAGUACUAGACACAGUGGCUCAGAUCCUUGGCUCAGAUUGGGCGCAUUAAGGUCUGAUUGAGGAACCUCGCUCAGACUUGACUGCUGCAAUAGGCCUGCCACACUGUGGUCACCUUUAGGCAGUUGCUACAGGUGCUUGUCUCAACUAAGAACAGAAACGGAAACUGUAAUUUCUCACUAGUUGACGUUCUCACCGAAGUUUGAGUUGCUAUUAGACUGCGCUCCUUCAACUCGUCCCUAAUCCAGAAGCCAAGGCCUCUGUGGCAGAUUCCUUGUAGCAAAUAGCUUGUAAGAUGGGAUGGGUGGGGGUCGGGUGGUGGCACAGUGGGUUAAGCGCAAAGUGCAAGGACUGGCGUAAGGAUCCUGGUUCAAGCCCCUGGCUCCCCACCUGCAGGGGAGUCGCUUCACAGGCAGUGAAGCAGGUCUGCAGGUGUCUAUCUUUCUCUCCCCUUCUCCGUCUUCCCCUCCUCUCUCCAUUUCUCUCUGUCCUAUCCAACAACGAACAAUGUCAACAAUGGCAAUAAUAAUGACCACAACGAGGCUACAACAACAAGGGCAACAAAAAGGGGAAAAAAUGGCCUCCAGGAGCGGUGGAUUCAUGGUGCAGGCACCGAGCCCAGCAAUAACCCUGGAGGAAAAAAAAAAAAAAAAAGAUGGGAUGGGCAUCAAAAUUCAAGCGUGAUGCCUGCCGCCCAGCCCAGGAGAAGGGCCAGUGUGCCGAAAGUGCUUAUAGACUUGAUGAGGAAUUCCAUCUCUUCCAAAAAAUGUCAGGAAAUUGUGCGAAUGUGGUUGAGCUCGGCAGGGCUCAUAAAGCACCCUGCAUUCCUGAUAUUAUGACCUAUCUACAUAAUCACUGUUUUGCCUGAAAGAUGCCCACCCAUUCCAUUCCUUUGCUCUAUCUUCUUUCUACCCUCAAGACCUUCCCUGCCUCCAGGCUAUUAAUUAAUCCUACCAGUUAACACCCUCACGAUAGUUGCUAAGGAAGUUCCUACCUUCCCGGCUCCAUUCUGCUUUUCUCCGCCCCUUUCCUAGCCAUUUCCAUUUCCGACUUGCCACUUCUGGGUCUGUCUUUUAAAAGCGGUGGCUCUCUGAUGAAUAAAGACAUUGCAUUGUCUCGCCA